GACGAACGCUGGCGGCGUGCUUAACACAUGCAAGUCGAACGAAGAGCGAUGGAAGCUUGCUUCUAUCACUCUUAGUGGCGCACGGGUGAGUAACGCGUAAUCAACCUGCCCUUCAGAGGGGGACAACAGUUGGAAACGACUGCUAAUACCGCAUACGAUCUAAUCUCGGCAUCGAGGAUAGAUGAAAGGUGGCCUCUACAUGUAAGCUAUCACUGAAGGAGGGGAUUGCGUCUGAUUAGCUAGUUGGAGGGGUAACGGCCCACCAAGGCGAUGAUCAGUAGCCGGUCUGAGAGGAUGAACGGCCACAUUGGGACUGAGACACGGCCCAGACUCCUACGGGAGGCAGCAGUGGGGAAUCUUCCGCAAUGGACGAAAGUCUGACGGAGCAACGCCGCGUGAGCGAUGACGGCCUUCGGGUUGUAAAGCUCUGUUAAUCGGGACGAAAGGCCUUCUUGCGAAUAGUGAGAAGGAUUGACGGUACCGGAAUAGAAAGCCACGGCUAACUACGUG
Molecule: ribosomal RNA, 510 nt
Filed under: uncultured bacterium
Lineage: Bacteria
Description: partial 16S ribosomal RNA
Rfam family: Bacterial small subunit ribosomal RNA
Source: RNAcentral